RNAcentral lists this long non-coding RNA (211 nucleotides) under Malus domestica (apple). RNAcentral describes it as "long non-coding RNA (MDOM_LNC005573)". The record is from RNAcentral. Lineage: Eukaryota; Viridiplantae; Streptophyta; Magnoliopsida; Rosales; Rosaceae.
ACUUCGGGACACCUCAUCCGAGGCACGUUAGAUCUCGGUGUGUUGCAAGAGUUGAUUCACCAAGGUUGUUUGUUGUGCAAGGGCGCUCAUCAACUCUAUGACUUGUCGAGACAAGUGUUGUUCGCCAUUUAGAUUGGAAAAGCUUGGAAAGAAUGUGCCUUCUUGAGCCGUGGAAGUGUGGUAGACUCCGGGUGUAAGAUUUGAGUUGAGA